RNAcentral lists this ribosomal RNA (245 nucleotides) under uncultured bacterium. RNAcentral's name for it is "partial 16S ribosomal RNA". It matches the Rfam family "Bacterial small subunit ribosomal RNA", at positions 524 to 765 of the family's 1533-position model. The record is from RNAcentral.
UACGUAGGAGACGAGCGUUGUCCGGAGUUAUUGGGCGUAAAGGGCGCGUAGGCGGCCACGCACGUCCGUUGUGAAAUCGCCCGGCUCAACGUGGGCGGGGUCGGCGGAUACGGCGUGGCUGGAGCAAGCUAGGGGGCAAUGGAAUUCCCGGUGUAGUGGUGGAAUGCGUAGAUAUCGGGAGGAACACCAGUGGCGAAGGCGGUUGCCUGGAGCUUUGGCUGACGCUGAGGCGCGGAAAGCGUAGG